AACGAACGCUGGCGGCAGGCCUAACACAUGCAAGUCGAGCGCCCCGCAAGGGGAGCGGCGGACGGGUGAGUAACGCGUGGGAACGUACCCUUUGCUACGGAAUAGCCUCGGGAAACUGGGAGUAAUACCGUAUGUGCCCUUCGGGGGAAAGAUUUAUCGGCAAAGGAUCGGCCCGCGUUGGAUUAGGUAGUUGGUGGGGUAAUGGCCUACCAAGCCGACGAUCCAUAGCUGGUUUGAGAGGAUGAUCAGCCACAUUGGGACUGAGACACGGCCCAAACUCCUACGGGAGGCAGCAGUGGGGAAUCUUGCGCAAUGGGCGAAAGCCUGACGCAGCCAUGCCGCGUGAAUGAUGAAGGUCUUAGGAUUGUAAAAUUCAUUCACCGGGGACGAUAAUGACGGUACCCGGAGAAGAAGCCCCGGCUAACUUCGUGCCAGCAGCCGCGGUAAU
Molecule: ribosomal RNA, 448 nt
Filed under: uncultured bacterium
Lineage: Bacteria
Description: bacterial SSU rRNA
Rfam family: Bacterial small subunit ribosomal RNA
Source: RNAcentral